Molecule: ribosomal RNA, 466 nt
Filed under: uncultured bacterium
Lineage: Bacteria
Description: partial 16S ribosomal RNA
Rfam family: Bacterial small subunit ribosomal RNA
Source: RNAcentral
GAUGAACGCUGGCGGCACGCCUAACACAUGCAAGUCGAACGAGCGAGAGAGAGCAUGCUUUCUCAAGCGAGUGGCGAACGGGUAAGUAACGCGUGCGGAACCUGCCUCGAAGAGGGGGACAACAGAUGGACACGACAGCUACUACCGCCUAAGCCCCCGACGCGGCAACCGGCCGAGGGAAAAGGUGCCAUCUGCUUAGAGAUGGCCUCGCGUGCGAUUUUCCAGAUGGUGGGGUCACUGCCCACCCGGGCGACGAUCGGGAGCCGGCCUGAGCGGGAGAACGGCCACUGGGGGUCAGAGACACGGCCCAGACUCCUGCGGGAGGCAGCAGUGGAGAAUAUUGCACAAUGGGGGAAACCCUGAUGCAGCGACGCCGCGUGGAGGAAGAAGGUCUGCGGAGUGUAAACUCCUGUUGUGGAGGGAGAUAAUGACGGUACUCAACAAGGAAGUGACGGCUAACUACGUG